This 406-nucleotide ribosomal RNA is filed under the name uncultured bacterium. RNAcentral's name for it is "partial 16S ribosomal RNA". It matches the Rfam family "Bacterial small subunit ribosomal RNA", at positions 30 to 526 of the family's 1533-position model. The record is from RNAcentral.
AUUGAACGCUGGCGGCAGGCCUAACACAUGCAAGUCGAACGAGUGGCGAACGGGUGAGUAAGUUCUGGGAAACUGCCUGAGGGAGGGGGAUAACUACUGGAAACGUUAGCUAAUACCGCAUACCAUCGGAUGUGCCAAGAUGGGAUUAGCUAGUGGGUGGGGUAAAGUCUAACCUAGGCGACGAUCCCUAGCUGGUCUGAGAGGAUGACCAGCCACACUGGAACUGAGACACGGUCCAGACUCCUACGGGAGGCAGCAGUGGGGAAUAUUGCACAAUGGGCGCAAGCCUGAUGCAGCCAUGCCGCGUGUAUGAAGAGGGCCUUCGGGUUGUAAAGUACUUUCAGCGGGGAGGCGUUACCCGCAGAAGAAGCACCGGCUAACUCCGUGCCAGCAGCCGCGGUAAUUC